Molecule: ribosomal RNA, 205 nt
Filed under: uncultured bacterium
Lineage: Bacteria
Description: partial 16S ribosomal RNA
Rfam family: Bacterial small subunit ribosomal RNA
Source: RNAcentral
GAUUGUAGUCUGCAACUCGACUACAUGAAGCUGGAAUCGCUAGUAAUCGCGAAUCAGAAUGUCGCGGUGAAUACGUUCCCGGGUCUUGUACACACCGCCCGUCACACCAUGGGAGUCGGAAAUGCCCGAAGCCGGUGACUCAACCGCAAGGAGAGAGCCGUCGAAGGCAGGUCUGAUAACUGGGGUGAAGUCGUAACAAGGUAAC